GUACAAUUUGAGCUACUGGA
Molecule: unclassified non-coding RNA, 20 nt
Filed under: Mus musculus (house mouse)
Lineage: Eukaryota; Metazoa; Chordata; Mammalia; Rodentia; Muridae
Description: oocyte_clustered_small_RNA4248
Source: RNAcentral